This 506-nucleotide ribosomal RNA is filed under the name uncultured bacterium. RNAcentral's name for it is "partial 16S ribosomal RNA". It matches the Rfam family "Bacterial small subunit ribosomal RNA", at positions 29 to 523 of the family's 1533-position model. The record is from RNAcentral.
AGUGAACGCUGGCGGUAGGCCUAACACAUGCAAGUCGAACGGCAGCACAGAGGGGCUUGCUCCUUGGGUGGCGAGUGGCGGACGGGUGAGGAAUACAUCGGAAUCUACUCUGUCGUGGGGGAUAACGUAGGGAAACUUACGCUAAUACCGCAUACGACCUACGGGUGAAAGCAGGGGACCUUCGGGCCUUGCGCGAUUGAAUGAGCCGAUGUCGGAUUAGCUAGUUGGCGGGGUAGAGGCCCACCAAGGCGACGAUCCGUAGCUGGUCUGGCAGGCUGAUCAGCCACCCUGGAACUGAGACACGGUCCAGACUCCUACGGGAGGCAGCAGUGGGGAAUAUUGGACAAUGGGCGCAAGCCUGAUCCAGCCAUACCGCGUGGGUGAAGAAGGCCUUCGGGUUGUAAAGCCCUUUUGUUGGGAAAGAAAUCCAGCUGGCUAAUACCCGGUUGGGAUGACGGUACCCACAGAAUAAGCACCGGCUAACUUCGUGCCAGCAGCCGCGGUAA